Molecule: ribosomal RNA, 449 nt
Filed under: uncultured bacterium
Lineage: Bacteria
Description: bacterial SSU rRNA
Rfam family: Bacterial small subunit ribosomal RNA
Source: RNAcentral
CCCAGACUCCUACGGGAGGCAGCAGUGGGGAAUAUUGGACAAUGGGGGGAACCCUGAUCCAGCGACGCCGCGUGAGUGAAGAAGUAUUUCGGUAUGUAAAGCUCUAUCAGCAGGGAAGAAAGAAAUGACGGUACCUGAGUAAGAAGCACCGGCUAAAUACGUGCCAGCAGCCGCGGUAAUACGUAUGGUGCAGGCGUUAUCCGGAUUUACUGGGUGUAAAGGGAGCGCAGGCGGCACGGCAAGCCUGAUGUGAAAGCCCGCGGCCCAACCGCGGGACUGCAUUGGGAACUACCGGGCUGGAGUGCCGGAGAGGUAGGCGGAAUUCCUAGUGUAGCGGUGAAAUGCGUAGAUAUUAGGAGGAACACCAGUGGCGAAGGCGGCCUACUGGACGGUGACUGACGCUGAGGCUCGAAAGCGUGGGUAGCGAACGGGAUUAGAUACCCGCGUAA